UGUAGUUUUUUUAAUAUUAACGGAUGCUGUCUUCUACAUAUUAAGUAUAAAAUCAGCUCCGUAUGUAUCAAGGAAUAACGUUGACGUUCACAGCUUGAAUCCACAGCAUCGACAAAAGCGUGACUAUGCUCCAGCCUAUGAUUAUCCCGAUACAGGAGACCAUUACAACCAAUAUCAUGUAUCUGAUUACUAUUACCAGCAUCCCACAAGUCAUUAUAACCAAUACUCUGGUCACGGGACAAGUGUCUUAGCACCCAUCGGAAUAGUGGGUGGAGCUGCCUUAAAAGCGGUUAAAGUUAAGAAAGUAGUGAAAGGUCUCAAGUAUCUCUCUAUUCCACUAGGAUUGGCAACGAUAGGAGGAAUUGCUGCUUUAGCAAGUGGAGCAAUACCACCAGCCCUUGUUGGAGGCAUUAAUUUACCCUUCCAGGGUUGAGGAGUAUUUUCAAGAGAAGAAUCCGUCUCUGAGAGUUAAUAUGUCUUUAAUUCAAAAUACUAAAUUAGUAUGAAGCAUUCUUAGAAGAGAUGAAACUCGCUAUGAUAUUUUAAUGUAUCAAAUUGAUAUCUUGUAACUGUCUUAUAGUGAAAUGUCGUAGUCAGGAGAAGGAUUUUUAAGUUGCCUGCUUUAUUUAUUAUGAGUAUGUUUUCAUCAUUGUAUCGAUUGCAUUUUAUUUUAUAAUUAGGUUAGAAAAUGUUUCGAGUAUCAAGUAUAUUUUGAAAAAAAAAUGCGAAUUUUUUUUAACAAUCUUACUGAGAACAUUGCUCUUAAAAACAAUCUAUAUUUUAUUUAUAAAUUUUAUAAUUUCAAAACUGUGUAUCUCUACUGAAAACUGGAACAACUAUGCCUUUAUGAGGUAAUCAUAUUCGCACUUUUUAAUAUUGUUUUUGUUUUUCAUUUGCAUUUAUUUUGAAUUUUCUUAACUAAAAAAAUUUAAUGAAAUUGUAGUCUUAAAACAUACAUUAGUUUCAAUUUGCAUCUCAAAUAAUUCAAACCAUCCAUUGUAUAUUAAGUUAUACGUAAUAUUUCAUGUUGUAUAUUUCAUUAAGUAAUAAUUGUUACAAUAAAUUUUUCGGUUUUCUUUAUACGUAUUAUUCAGGUACUAUUAAAUAUAUUUUAACUAUGAA
This is a non-coding RNA of Parasteatoda tepidariorum (common house spider), 1122 nucleotides long. NCBI's taxonomy places the organism in Eukaryota, Metazoa, Arthropoda, Arachnida, Araneae, Theridiidae. The record is from RefSeq and is a predicted model, not a curated record.